GCCUGGGUGGCUCAGUCGGUUGAGCGUCCGACUUCGGCUCAGGUCGUGAUUUUGCAGUCUGUGAGGUUGAGCCCCACCUCGGGCU
RNAcentral lists this transfer RNA (85 nucleotides) under Felis catus (domestic cat). It matches the Rfam family "tRNA". Rfam says of the family: Transfer RNA (tRNA) molecules are approximately 80 nucleotides in length. The record is from Rfam by way of RNAcentral. Lineage: Eukaryota; Metazoa; Chordata; Mammalia; Carnivora; Felidae.